GACGAACGCUGGCGGCGUGCCUAAUACAUGCAAGUUGAGCGAUGAAGAUUGGUGCUUGCACCAAUUUGAAGAGCAGCGAACGGGUGAGUAACGCGUGGGGAAUCUGCCUUUGAGCGGGGGACAACAUUUGGAAACGAAUGCUAAUACCGCAUAGCAACUUUAAACAUAAGUUUUAAGUUUGAAAGAUGCAAUUGCAUCACUCAAAGAUGAUCCCGCGUUGUAUUAGCUAGUUGGUGAGGUAAAGGCUCACCAAGGCGAUGAUACAUAGCCGACCUGAGAGGGUGAUCGGCCACAUUGGGACUGAGACACGGCCCAAACUCCUACGGGAGGCAGCAGUAGGGAAUCUUCGGCAAUGGACGAAAGUCUGACCGAGCAACGCCGCGUGAGUGAAGAAGGUUUUCGGAUCGUAAAACUCUGUUGGUAGAGAAGAACGUUGGUGAGAGUGGAAAGCUCAUCAAGUGACGGUAACUACCCAGAAAGGGACGGCUAACUACGUG
Molecule: ribosomal RNA, 497 nt
Filed under: uncultured bacterium
Lineage: Bacteria
Description: partial 16S ribosomal RNA
Rfam family: Bacterial small subunit ribosomal RNA
Source: RNAcentral